UACGGAGGGGGCAAGCGUUAUUCGGAAUUAUUGGGCGUAAAGGGCAGGUAGGCGGCUUCGUGUGUCCCUUGUGAAAGCCCUCGGCUCAACUGAGGAAUUGCAAAGGAAACUACGGAGCUUGAGUCCGGGAGAGGAGAGUGGAAUUCCCAGUGUAGCGGUGAAAUGCGUAGAUAUUGGGAGGAACACCGGUGGCGAAGGCGGCUCUCUGGACCGGUACUGACGCUGAUCUGCGAAAGCCAGGGGAGCAAACGGG
Molecule: ribosomal RNA, 253 nt
Filed under: uncultured bacterium
Lineage: Bacteria
Description: partial 16S ribosomal RNA
Rfam family: Bacterial small subunit ribosomal RNA
Source: RNAcentral